Molecule: ribosomal RNA, 835 nt
Filed under: uncultured bacterium
Lineage: Bacteria
Description: bacterial SSU rRNA
Rfam family: Bacterial small subunit ribosomal RNA
Source: RNAcentral
AGUUUGAUCCUGGCUCAGAAUGAACGUUGGCGGCGUGGAUUAGGCAUGCAAGUCGAACGGGCCGCAAGGCCAGUGGCGAAAGGGUGAGUAAGGCGACGGCAACCUACCCCGAGGUUGGGCAUAGCCGGGGGAAACUCCGGGUAAUUCCCAGCGAUGUGCGUCUCAGGCAUCUGAGACGCACCAAAGGUGCAAUUCCGCCUCGGGACGGGUCGUCGUGGUAUUAGGUAGUUGGUGGGGUCACGGCCCACCAAGCCGACGAUGCCUACCGGGCGUGCGAGCGUGGCCCGGCACACUGGGACUGAGACACUGCCCAGACUCCUACGGGAGGCUGCAGUCGAGAAUCUUCGGCAAUGGGCGCAAGCCUGACCGAGCGACGCCGCGUGGAGGAAGACGGCCCUUGGGUUGUAAACUCCUGUCGAGGGGAAGGAAGGGUCGGCGAAGAGCCGAUCUUGACCGCUCCCUGGAGGAAGCACGGGCUAAGUUCGUGCCAGCAGCCGCGGUAAGACGAACCGCGCAAACGUUAUUCGGAAUCACUGGGCUUAAAGGGCGCGUAGGCGGAACGGCGCGUCGGCGUUGAAAUCCCCCGGCUCAACCGGGGAAGCGGCGUCGAAACGGCCGUUCUGGAGGGGCGUAGAGGGACUCGGAACUUCCGGUGGAGCGGUGAUAUGCGUUGAGAUCGGAAGGAACGCCCGUGGCGAAAGCGGAGUCCUGGACGCUUACUGACGCUGAGGCGCGAAAGCCAGGGGAGCAAACGGGAUUAGAUACCCCGGUAGUCCUGGCUGUAAACGAUGGGCACUUGGCAGUGGGUUCGUCGAUGGGUCCACUGCCCGGAGGG